CAGCCGCCGCGGUAAUACGAAGGGGGCUAGCGUUGUUCGGAAUCACUGGGCGUAAAGCGCACGUAGGCGGACUUUUAAGUCAGGGGUGAAAUCCCAAGGCUCAACCUUGGAACUGCCUUUGAUACUGGAAGUCUUGAGUUCGGGAGAGGUGAGUGGAACUGCGAGUGUAGAGGUGAAAUUCGUAGAUAUUCGCAAGAACACCAGUGGCGAAGGCGGCUCACUGGCCCGAUACUGACGCUGAGGUGCGAAAGCGUGGGGAGCAAACAGGAUUAGAUACCCGAGUAGUCCCUGUCUCUUAUAA
This 301-nucleotide ribosomal RNA is filed under the name uncultured bacterium. RNAcentral describes it as "partial 16S ribosomal RNA". It matches the Rfam family "Bacterial small subunit ribosomal RNA", at positions 509 to 809 of the family's 1533-position model. The record is from RNAcentral.